This 1081-nucleotide ribosomal RNA is filed under the name fungal endophyte. RNAcentral's name for it is "eukaryotic LSU rRNA". The stretch from base 487 to 1081 matches the Rfam family "Eukaryotic large subunit ribosomal RNA", at positions 1 to 599 of the family's 3401-position model. The record is from RNAcentral. Lineage: Eukaryota; Fungi.
AGAGUUAUCCGUAACCUCCAACCCGUGUGAACUUACCGUCAUCGUUGCCUCGGCGGCGCUCGUGCGAGCGCCGCCGGCGGCCCAGCAACCUCUGUUAUUUUGUGAAUCUGAGCCUAAAAAAACAAAUUGGAAAUUAAAACUUUCAACAACGGAUCUCUUGGCUCUGGCAUCGAUGAAGAACGCAGCGAAAUGCGAUAAGUAAUGUGAAUUGCAGAAUUUAGUGAAUCAUCGAAUCUUUGAACGCACAUUGCGCCCACCAGUAUUCUGGUGGGCAUGCCUGUUCGAGCGUCAUUUCAACCCCUUACGCCCUCGUCGCGUAGUGUUGGGAGGCUGCGGCGGAAGCGCCGCACCUCCUCAAAUCCAGUGGCGGAGUCGGUGGUCGUGCUCUAGGCGUAGUAGUUAACGUUGUUCUCGUCUCGCCUAGCGUCGCCCCGGCGGUCCUGCCGUGAAACCUCCCCCCCCGCGGGGGAAUUUCUCUUAGAAGGUUGACCUCGGAUCAGGUAGGGAUACCCGCUGAACUUAAGCAUAUCAAUAAGCGGAGGAAAAGAAACCAACAGGGAUUACCCUAGUAACGGCGAGUGAAGCGGUAAGAGCUCAAAUUUGAAAUCUGGCCCCCCCCGGGGGGUCCGAGUUGUAAUUUGUAGAGGAUGCUUUUGGCGAGGUGCCUUCCGAGUUCCCUGGAACGGGACGCCUUAGAGGGUGAGAGCCCCGUACGGUUGGAUGCCGAGCCUCUGUAAAGCUCCUUCGACGAGUCGAGUAGUUUGGGAAUGCUGCUCUAAAUGGGAGGUAAAUUUCUUCUAAAGCUAAAUACUGGCCAGAGACCGAUAGCGCACAAGUAGAGUGAUCGAAAGAUGAAAAGUACUUUGAAAAGAGGGUUAAAUAGUACGUGAAAUUGUUGAAAGGGAAGCGUUUGUGACCAGACUUUGCCGCGGCGGAUCAUCCGGUGGUCUCCACCGGUGCGCUCCGCCGCGGCGAGGCCAGCAUCGGCUCCCGCAGGGGGAUAAAAGCCUGGGGAACGUAGCUCCCUCGGGAGUGUUAUAGCCCCUCGCAUAAUGCCCUUGCGGGGACCGAGGACCGCGUA